CAAGAAUUGAGCGAGGAAGCCAAAGAAUUUUCCCACUUGCUGCUAAAUAAAGUUGAGCGUACAGAAUCUCUUCCGAGAGAAAAUUAUACCCAUGGUGAUGUUUUAAUAUGUUUGGGAAUUGUGAAAGCUGUAAGAGGGAAAUUGUUGAUUGAUAUUCAUCACCAUUAUAAAGUUGUUGAUGUUGAUGCAGAAACUAUGUGGACCUAUGAUAUUUUGUUGGCAAGAAAACUGACCAAACCUUCUUGAUGGCACAAGGUCCAGCUUCUUAACUCUUUUAGUGCUAGCCUAGAUUGAUGACUGAC
Molecule: long non-coding RNA, 302 nt
Organism: Uloborus diversus
Lineage: Eukaryota; Metazoa; Arthropoda; Arachnida; Araneae; Uloboridae
Exons: 3
Source: RefSeq, a predicted model, not a curated record